This is a long non-coding RNA of Acanthochromis polyacanthus (spiny chromis), 834 nucleotides long. RefSeq lists it as uncharacterized. NCBI's taxonomy places the organism in Eukaryota, Metazoa, Chordata, Actinopteri, Pomacentridae. The transcript is spliced from 7 exons. The record is from RefSeq and is a predicted model, not a curated record.
UACUUCAGGUAGUACUACUACCAACGUUCUAAUACUGCAUCAGUACUCCAGGUAGUACUGCUACCAACGUUCUAAUACUGCAUCAGUACUCCAGGUAGUACUGCUACCAACGUUCUAAUACUGCAUCAGUACUCCAGGUAGUACUGCUACCAACGUUCUAAUACUGCAUCAGUACUCCAGGUAGUACUACUACCAACGUUCUAAUACUACAUCAGUACUCCAGGUAGUACUACUACCAACCUUCUAAUACUACAUCAGUACUCCAGGUAGUACUACUACCAACCUUCUAAUACUACAUCAGUACUCCAGGUAGUACUACUACCAACCUUCUAAUACUACAUCAGUACUCCAGGUAGUACUACUACCAACCUUCUAAUACUACAUCAGUACUCCAGGUAGUACUACUACCAACCUUCUAAUACUACAUCAGUACUCCAGGUAGUACUACUACCAACGUUCUAAUACUACAUCAGUACUCCAGGUAGUACUACUACCAACCUUCUAAUACUACAUCAGUACUCCAGGUAGUACUACUACCAACCUUCUAAUACUACAUCAGUACUCCAGGUAGUACUACUACCAACGUUCUAAUACUACAUCAGUACUCCAGGUAGUACUACUACCAACCUUCUAAUACUACAUCAGUACUCCAGGUAGUACUACUACCAACGUUCUAAUACUACAUCAGUACUCCAGGUAGUACUACUAUCAACCUUCUAAUACUACAUCAGUACUCCAGGUAGUACUACUACCAACCUUCUAAUACUACCCGAGCCACCAAACCACGAGGACGACCACGGAUCGGCCCGGAAGGGGGCAGAGAGAGAACCUGGC